GACGAACGCNGGCGGCGUGCUUAUCACAUGCAAGUCGAACGAAGAGCGACGGAAGCUUGCUUCUAUCAAUCUUAGUGGCGAACGGGUGAGUAACGCGUAAUCAACCUGCCCUUCAGAGGGGGACAACAGUUGGAAACGACUGCUAAUACCGCAUACGAUCUAAUCUCGGCAUCGAGGAUAGAUGAAAGGUGGCCUCUACAUGUAAGCUAUCACUGAAGGAGGGGAUUGCGUCUGAUUAGCUAGUUGGAGGGGUAACGGCCCACCAAGGCGAUGAUCAGUAGCCGGUCUGAGAGGAUGAACGGCCACAUUGGGACUGAGACACGGCCCAGACUCCUACGGGAGGCAGCAGUGGGGAAUCUUCCGCAAUGGACGAAAGUCUGACGGAGCAACGCCGCGUGAGUGAUGACGGCCUUCGGGUUGUAAAGCUCUGUUAAUCGGGACGAAAGGCCUUCUUGCAGAUAGNGAGAAGGAUGAC
RNAcentral lists this ribosomal RNA (475 nucleotides) under uncultured bacterium. RNAcentral's name for it is "bacterial SSU rRNA". It matches the Rfam family "Bacterial small subunit ribosomal RNA", at positions 28 to 473 of the family's 1533-position model. The record is from RNAcentral.